RNAcentral lists this ribosomal RNA (460 nucleotides) under uncultured bacterium. Its description in RNAcentral is "partial 16S ribosomal RNA". It matches the Rfam family "Bacterial small subunit ribosomal RNA", at positions 338 to 795 of the family's 1533-position model. The record is from RNAcentral.
CCUACGGGUGGCAGCAGUGAGGAAUAAUGGUCAAUGGACGAGAGUCUGAACCAGCCAAGUAGCGUGAAGGAUGACUGCCCUAUGGGUUGUAAACUUCUUUUAUAAAGGAAUAAAACGAGGCACGUGUGCCUCUUUGCAUGUACUUUAUGAACAAGGAUCGGACAACUCCGUGCCAGCAGCGGCGGUAAUACGGAGGAUCCGUGCGUUAUCCGGAAUUAUUGGGUUGAAAGGGAGCGUAGAUGGGUUGUUAAGUCAGUUGUGAAAGGGUGCGGCUCAACCGUAAAAUUGCAAUUGAUACUGGCAGUCUGGAGGAAAGUUGAGGUAGGCGGAAUUCGUGGUGUAACAGUGAAAUGCUUAGAUAUCACGAAGAACCCCGAUUGCGAAGGCAGGUUACUAAACUGUGACUGACAUUGAUGCUCGAAAGUGUGGGUAUCAAACAGGAUUAGAUACCCCUGUAGUC